Ornithorhynchus anatinus (platypus) is the source of this 65-nucleotide non-coding RNA. The record is from Rfam. Lineage: Eukaryota; Metazoa; Chordata; Mammalia; Monotremata; Ornithorhynchidae.
GUGAGGGGGCCGUACCUCAUGCAGAGUGUUGGUGGAAUUUCCUGCAUAGUGUGCGGCCUCCCCAC